RNAcentral lists this ribosomal RNA (253 nucleotides) under uncultured bacterium. RNAcentral's name for it is "partial 16S ribosomal RNA". It matches the Rfam family "Bacterial small subunit ribosomal RNA", at positions 524 to 776 of the family's 1533-position model. The record is from RNAcentral.
UACGGAGGGUGCAAGCGUUGUCCGGAUUUAUUGGGCUUAAAGGGUGCGUAGGCGGUCUUUUAAGUCCGCGGUGAAAUCCUCCAGCUUAACUGGAGAACUGCCAUUGAUACUGGAAGACUUGAGUACAGACGAGGUAGGCGGAAUUGACAGUGUAGCGGUGAAAUGCAUAGAUAUUGUCAAGAACACCGAUGGCGAAGGCAGCUUACUAGACUGUAACUGACGCUGAGGCACGAAAGUGUGGGGAGCAAACAGG